GAUGAACGCUAGCGGCAGGCCUAAUACAUGCAAGUCGAGGGGCAGCGGGUGUAGCAAUACAUGCCGGCGACCGGCGCACGGGUGCGUAACGCGUAUGCAACUUACCUCUAACAGGGGAAUAGCCCCGAGAAAUCGGGAUUAAUACCUCAUAACAUUUAUCAUUCGCAUGUUUGAUAAAUUAAAGCUCCGGCGGUUAGAGAUGGGCAUGCGUGACAUUAGCUAGUUGGUGAGGUAACGGCUCACCAAGGCUGCGAUGUCUAGGGGUUCUGAGAGGACAUUCCCCCGACACUGGUACUGAGACACGGACCAGACUCCUACGGGAGCAGCAGUAAGGAAUAUUGGGCAAUGGACGCAAGUCUGACCCAGCCAUGCCGCGUGCAGGAUGAAGGCCCUAUCGGGUUGUAAACUGCUUUUGUACGGG
Molecule: ribosomal RNA, 421 nt
Filed under: uncultured bacterium
Lineage: Bacteria
Description: bacterial SSU rRNA
Rfam family: Bacterial small subunit ribosomal RNA
Source: RNAcentral